UCUCCGUUGGUGAACCAGCGGAGGGAUCAUUACAGAGUUGCAAAACUCCCAAACCAUUGUGAACGUUACCUAUCCCGUUGCUUCGGCGGGCGGCCCGGGCCCCGCGCCCGGCGCCCCCCGGCCCCCCGUGGGCGCCCGCCGGAGGUAAACCAAACCCUUGAAUUGCAUGGCCUCUCUGAGUCUUCUGUACUGAAUAUGUCAAAACUUUCAACAACGGAUCUCUUGGUUCUG
This 231-nucleotide unclassified non-coding RNA is filed under the name plant metagenome. RNAcentral describes it as "partial contains small subunit ribosomal RNA, internal transcribed spacer 1, and 5.8S ribosomal RNA". The record is from RNAcentral.